GCGCCUGUAGCUCAGUCGGAUAGAGCAUCGGCCUUCUAAGCCGAUGGUCGGAGGUUCGAAUCCUCUCAGGCGCG
RNAcentral lists this transfer RNA (74 nucleotides) under Deltaproteobacteria bacterium. RNAcentral's name for it is "tRNA-Arg". It matches the Rfam family "tRNA". From Rfam's summary of the family: Transfer RNA (tRNA) molecules are approximately 80 nucleotides in length. Their secondary structure includes four short double-helical elements and three loops (D, anti-codon, and T loops). The record is from RNAcentral. Lineage: Bacteria; Pseudomonadati; Myxococcota; Myxococcia.